Molecule: ribosomal RNA, 483 nt
Filed under: uncultured bacterium
Lineage: Bacteria
Description: partial 16S ribosomal RNA
Rfam family: Bacterial small subunit ribosomal RNA
Source: RNAcentral
UUGAACGCUGGCGGCAGGCCUAACACAUGCAAGUCGCGCGGAUGAAGGGAGCUUGCUCCUGGAUUCAGCGGCGGACGGGUGAGUAAUGCCUAGGAAUCUGCCUGGUAGUGGGGGAUAACGUCCGGAAACGGGCGCUAAUACCGCAUACGUCCUGAGGGAGAAAGUGGGGGAUCUUCGGACCUCACGCUAUCAGAUGAGCCUAGGUCGGAUUAGCUAGUUAGUGGGGUAAAGGCCUACCAAGGCGACGAUCCGUAACUGGUCUGAGAGGAUGAUCAGUCACACUGGAACUGAGACACGGUCCAGACUACUACGGGAGGCAGCAGUGGGGAAUAUUGGACAAUGGGCGAAAGCCUGAUCCAGCCAUGCCGCGUGUGUGAAGAAGGUCUUCGGAUUGUAAAGCACUUUAAGUUGGGAGGAAGGGCAGUAAGUUAAUACCUUGCUGUUUUGACGUUACCAACAGAAUAAGCACCGGCUAACUUCGUG